CCCUCAUCCAGCACUCCAAUACGCACCAGACGCCUGAGCAGAGCAUUACCUUCAAAGAGACGCUUAGGAUCCUUCUCAUCCAGAGUGAGCAGCUCUCUGGCAGCCUUGCGGAUUUUGGCCAGAGUGAACUUCACCCUCCAGACUUCUCUCUUAUUCCUGAGACCAUACUCACCAAUGAGUCUUAACUCCUGGUCAAGACGUGACUUCUCAAAAGGACGUCUUGGGGUGACGUACGUCUUACUGCAAACCCAAGUCUUGGCAACCGGCAUGGCGACUUAUUGACGCCUGUCCG
This 292-nucleotide unclassified non-coding RNA is filed under the name Hevea brasiliensis (rubber tree). The record is from RNAcentral. Lineage: Eukaryota; Viridiplantae; Streptophyta; Magnoliopsida; Malpighiales; Euphorbiaceae.